GAUGAAGAACGUAGCGAAAUGCGAUACGUAAUGUGAAUUGCAGAAUUCAGUGAAUCAUCGAAUCUUUGAACGCAUAUUGCGCUCUCUGGUAUUCCGGAGAGCAUGCUUGUUUGAGUAUUAGUAAACACCUCAACUUCCAUAUCUUUUUUGAAAUGGGAGUUGGACUUGAGUGAUCCCAACGCUUUUCCUCACCGAAAAGUGGCGGGUUACUUGAAAUGCAGGUGCAGCUGGACUUUUCUCUGAGCUAUAAGCAUAUCUAUUUAGUCUGCCUAAAAAACAGAUUAUUACCUUUGCUGCAGCUAACAUAAAGGAGAUUAGUUCUUGUGCUGACUGAUGCAGGAUUCACAAAGACAGGCUUCGGCCGACUUUGUAAACUCGAUCUCAAAUCAAGUAAGACUACCCGCUGAACUUAAGCAUAUCAAUAAGCGGAGGA
RNAcentral lists this unclassified non-coding RNA (433 nucleotides) under soil metagenome. RNAcentral's name for it is "partial contains 5.8S ribosomal RNA, internal transcribed spacer 2, and large subunit ribosomal RNA". The stretch from base 1 to 120 matches the Rfam family "5.8S ribosomal RNA", at positions 35 to 154 of the family's 154-position model. The record is from RNAcentral.